Molecule: ribosomal RNA, 497 nt
Filed under: uncultured bacterium
Lineage: Bacteria
Description: partial 16S ribosomal RNA
Rfam family: Bacterial small subunit ribosomal RNA
Source: RNAcentral
GACGAACGCUGGCGGCGUGCCUAAUACAUGCAAGUUGAGCGCUGAAGGUUGGUACUUGUACCAACUGGAUGAGCAGCGAACGGGUGAGUAGCGCGUGGGGAAUCUGCCUUUGAGCGGGGGACAACAUUUGGAAACGAAUGCUAAUACCGCAUAAAAACUUUAAACACAAGUUUUAAGUUUGAAAGAUGCAAUUGCAUCACUCAAAGAUGAUCCCGCGUUGUAUUAGCUAGUUGGUGAGGUAAAGGCUCACCAAGGCGAUGAUACAUAGCCGACCUGAGAGGGUGAUCGGCCACAUUGGGACUGAGACACGGCCCAAACUCCUACGGGAGGCAGCAGUAGGGAAUCUUCGGCAAUGGACGAAAGUCUGACCGAGCAACGCCGCGUGAGUGAAGAAGGGUUUCGGAUCGUAAAACUCUGUUGGUAGAGAAGAACGUUGGUGAGAGUGGAAAGCUCAUCAAGUGACGGUAACUACCCAGAAAGGGACGGCUAACUACGUG